UACGGGGGGGGGCAAGCGUUGUUCGGAAUUACUGGGCGUAAAGGGCUCGUAGGUGGCCAACUAAGUCGGACGUGAAAUCCCUCGGCUUAACCGGGGAACUGCGUCUGAUACUGGAUGGCUUGAGUUCGGGAGAGGGAUGCGGAAUUCCAGGUGUAGCGGUGAAAUGCGUAGAUAUCUGGAGGAACACCGGUGGCGAAGGCGGCAUCCUGGACCGACACUGACGCUGAGGAGCGAAAGCCAGGGGAGCAAACGGG
Molecule: ribosomal RNA, 254 nt
Filed under: uncultured bacterium
Lineage: Bacteria
Description: partial 16S ribosomal RNA
Rfam family: Bacterial small subunit ribosomal RNA
Source: RNAcentral